GGUACGUCUCGUUGGUGACCAGCGGAGGGUCAUUACUGAGUUGCAAAACUCCAACCCCUGUGAACUUACCUAUUACGUUGCUUCGGCGGCUUCGGCCGCCGGAGGUUACAAACUCUUGUUUUUACUGGUAUCUCUGAGAUUAUAAACAAAUAAUCAAAACUUUCAACAACGGAUCUCUUGGUUCUGGCAUCGAUGAAGAACGCAGCGAAAUGCGAUAAGUAAUGUGAAUUGCAGAAUUCAGUGAAUCAUCGAAUCUUUGAACGCACAUUGCGCCCGCCGGUAUUCCGGCGGGCAUGCCUGUUCGAGCGUCAUUUCACCACUCAAGCCCAGCUUGGUGUUGGGGCACCCGGAGCCGAGAGGCGCCCGGGGCCCCCAAGUACAUCGGCGGUCUCGCCUGGACCCUGAACGCAGUAACUCGCGGUAAAACGCGCUUCGUUUGGCGGACUCCUGGCGGGCACUUGCCGCUAAACUCCUUUCUAAGGUUGACCUCGGAUCAGGUAGGAAUACCCGCUGAACUUAAGCAUAUCAAAAGCCGGAGGAA
Molecule: ribosomal RNA, 541 nt
Filed under: fungal endophyte
Lineage: Eukaryota; Fungi
Description: eukaryotic LSU rRNA
Rfam family: 5.8S ribosomal RNA (bases 158-311)
Source: RNAcentral